UGACUGCGUACCUUUUGUAUAAUGGGUCAGCGACUUAUAUUCUGUAGCAAGGUUAACCGAAUAGGGGAGCCGAAGGGAAACCGAGUCUUAACUGGGCGUUAAGUUGCAGGGUAUAGACCCGAAACCCGGUGAUCUAGCCAUGGGCAGGUUGAAGGUUGGGUAACACUAACUGGAGGACCGAACCGACUAAUGUUGAAAAAUUAGCGGAUGACUUGUGGCUGGGGGUGAAAGGCCAAUCAAACCGGGAGAUAGCUGGUUCUCCCCGAAAGCUAUUUAGGUAGCGCCUCGUGAAUUCAUCUCCGGGGGUAGAGCACUGUUUCGGCAAGGGGGUCAUCCCGACUUACCAACCCGAUGCAAACUGCGAAUACCGGAGAAUGUUAUCACGGGAGACACACGGCGGGUGCUAACGUCCGUCGUGAAGAGGGAAACAACCCAGACCGCCAGCUAAGGUCCCAAAGUCAUGGUUAAGUGGGAAACGAUGUGGGAAGGCCCAGACAGCCAGGAUGUUGGCUUAGAAGCAGCCAUCAUUUAAAGAAAGCGUAAUAGCUCACUGGUCGAGUCGGCCUGCGCGGAAGAUGUAACGGGGCUAAACCAUGCACCGAAGCUGCGGCAGCGACGCUUAUGCGUUGUUGGGUAGGGGAGCGUUCUGUAAGCCUGUGAAGGUGUACUGUGAGGUAUGCUGGAGGUAUCAGAAGUGCGAAUGCUGACAUAAGUAACGAUAAAGCGGGUGAAAAGCCCGCUCGCCGGAAGACCAAGGGUUCCUGUCCAACGUUAAUCGGGGCAGGGUGAGUCGACCCCUAAGGCGAGGCCGAAAGGCGUAGUCGAUGGGAAACAGGUUAAUAUUCCUGUACUUGGUGUUACUGCGAAGGGGGGACGGAGAAGGCUAUGUUGGCCGGGCGACGGUUGUCCCGGUUUAAGCGUGUAGGCUGGUUUUCCAGGCAAAUCCGGAAAAUCAAGGCUGAGGCGUGAUGACGAGGCACUACGGUGCUGAAGCAACAAAUGCCCUGCUUCCAGGAAAAGCCUCUAAGCAUCAGGUAACAUCAAAUCGUACCCCAAACCGACACAGGUGGUCAGGUAGAGAAUACCAAGGCGCUUGAGAGAACUCGGGUGAAGGAACUAGGCAAAAUGGUGCCGUAACUUCGGGAGAAGGCACGCUGAUAUGUAGGUGAAG
RNAcentral lists this ribosomal RNA (1171 nucleotides) under Escherichia coli. RNAcentral describes it as "partial 23S ribosomal RNA". It matches the Rfam family "Bacterial large subunit ribosomal RNA", at positions 594 to 1767 of the family's 2925-position model. The record is from RNAcentral. Lineage: Bacteria; Pseudomonadati; Pseudomonadota; Gammaproteobacteria; Enterobacterales; Enterobacteriaceae.